This is a long non-coding RNA of Humulus lupulus (European hop), 2492 nucleotides long. RefSeq lists it as uncharacterized. NCBI's taxonomy places the organism in Eukaryota, Viridiplantae, Streptophyta, Magnoliopsida, Rosales, Cannabaceae. The transcript has 3 exons. The record is from RefSeq and is a predicted model, not a curated record.
UAAUGAAUAUGCAACUAUAACAUUCAUGGGCAUUUCAUUAGUAUAAUACCCAUAGAAUGAUGCUAAAUACAAGCAAACAAUCACUAAAGUUAUGAAAAAUAAAGAGAAAUUCAUGUUUUGAUGAUGAAUUUUAUCUAGAAGGUUAAGAGAUGAAGAAGUUGUGCAAAUAAAUGGUUGAAGGAACAAGUAUUUAUAGGACAAAAACUAGCCGUUUAUGACCGUUGGUGAAUAGUGAUCAUGACCGUUGGGGGUAUAGUUGUUUUCUAUUAUGAGAUUUUAACAAUUCUAAGUUGUUGUAGUAACCAACAGGUGGGAAUAAUUAAUUUAUGGGUGUUAGAGAAACAUUUUCAGAAAAGUUUGUGAGUCAAAAAUGUUAAACUAAGUAAUAUAAGAAGAUUGGGAAAUUUUCUUUUUUUUACUAUUCACCGGGUACUAUUCAUAGUGGGUCCCACAGUGGGGUCCGCAAGGGUCCCACAGCGGGGUCCACCCCAUGGGUCCCACAUGUUGAUGCAGUAGUGAUAUAGUGAUGACUUAAGCAAAUUACUAUGCUUGAUAUUUUGAAUAUUUUAUUAUUUUACUAUGCUUGAUAUUUUUAAUAUUUUAUUAUUUUACUAUGCAGCAUAGUAACCCAAUGUUUUCCUAUAAAUAGAGCCUUUCAGAAUUCAUUUUGAAUUACGAAAAAUCUUUCUUUCUCUCACUCUGCCUAAAAUCUUCUUAACACUCUUUUAAAGUUUUAAAUCUCUAAAAUCUAGGCGAAGUUCUGUUUGUAACGCUAGCCUACGAAGACCUUUUUGGGAAGCUAACAAUUUCGGUUGUUUUAUCAAGACGCAAGGUAAGAGGCCCCAAAUAUAAAUCGUUGAUGAGUAUACGUGGAGCCAACAUGACUGUACAUAUGGGGCUGACCUGAAGGGAGUGGAGUUCUGCUAUGCUAUUUUAUAAAUAAACAAGAAACUUGGUUUUAUUAUAUUUCAUUAAAAGUAUUUUGUGAACUUUAUCAUUUACUUAAAGCUUUAAAAGUAUUUUAUGAACUUUGUAAUUUACAUAAAGCUUUUCAAUUUAUCAGUUGGAUACAUUUUCAUUUCUACGUUAAGGUGUAGUAACGUCACGAAAAUGAUUUAUAAAAGUAUUAAGAUUUGUAUGUAAGAUAAAGUUUUUAUUUAGUUGUGAGUAUUGUGUGGUUUGAGGUUAUAAACAUUAUUUAUGUAUUGUUUAAUAAAGUUUUUGUAAAUUCAGAAUUUCAGUAUUGUCGUAUUUAGGUUAAAAUUUGUUUUUACACUAUACAUGUAUGUUAAGAAAGGAGGUCGUUAAAGAGCUGGUAAAUUGUUAAAAGUUGAGGAAAUAAAGUUCCGGAAGGAAAGAGUUGCGUCUCUGCGUAAUAACAGACGAGGAUCUGUAAGGUGUUCAGAGAAAGAAGGGAGAGUUCUGACUCCUAUUUCAACAUGAAAUUCAGAAGUUGUACUAAGGGUUAGGCCGGCGGGGCCUACAAGCUGAUCCCACCUAGUAGAGGUGAUGACUUUUGAGUAUCUCUGGAAUCAAGAAUAAGACAGUGAAUUGGUCAUUGUAACCUAGGCAGACCCUGGGCUUCGGCAGGGUUGCGGUGUAACGAGAGGCUAUCGAGAGUAUGGCUAUUAGACAAGAUCUUGUGGGGAAAAAUUGUUACUCUUGUAAGAGUGUGGUUGAAAAGUAAAGUAAAGGCGGUGGACCUUGGAAGUGUGGUCAGAGUUGCGGGUUUACAGACUGAUAUGUUGGAUAAAUUUCGAGGACGAAAUUUUUAUGAGGAGGGGAUAGUUGUAACGACCCAAAUUCGCUAAUAAGGCUUAAGGGCCUUGAUUAGCGUGCCAGGAGGGCAUGAUGGGAUUUAUGUAUGAUUUUAAUUAUUUAAAUGCAUGGUUAUGAUUUAAAGCAUGUUAUAUGACUAUUUGUUUAUCUGAGAUGCAUGACUAUGUAAGUUAGUGUGCAUGUAGGCCCGGAUCGUGUUAGAAGGGCAUAAUUGUAAUUUUGGCCAUGAUUGGGCGUAACUGUAUUGAUAUGUGUUAAUUGUUGAGGCCACAGUGGUAUGUGGAUGUGUCUGUGCUUUGUGACUCGAGGCGAUCCCAGUGAGCAGGCUAGCGGAAAGUGUUGACAGGAAUUUAUACCCAGCUCGGGGCGAGCCUGGGGGUAUGAACAGGAAUUCAGAGAAAUAGAUUGAGAUUUAUUUUGAUGAUGGGGGAUAAUUAUUUGGUGAUUUAUCAGGUAUUCGGAAGCAACGGGAAAAUAUUAGAGACACUUGGGGAUUAGCGGGAAUUGGGUGAAUGACUAAAAUGGCCCUACUUGAACAAAAGGAUUUAGAAUUUAUAGGGAGGGCGUUUUGGUCAUUUGGCUUUGAGAUAGGUUAAGUGAGGUUUUAUACACUUAGUGGGUUUUGUAGAAAAGGGUAUAGGCUGAAAAGAAAGGAAGGAAAAGAAAGAAAGAAAGAGAGAAAAACGGAUGGGUUUUGAAGGGAUCGGUUUGGG